This 594-nucleotide ribosomal RNA is filed under the name Triticum aestivum (bread wheat). RNAcentral describes it as "partial small subunit ribosomal RNA". The record is from RNAcentral. Lineage: Eukaryota; Viridiplantae; Streptophyta; Magnoliopsida; Poales; Poaceae.
AUGGCGAUGGAGCAGAAGCUGAUGAAUACUGGGCAAUACAGGCAAGAAAGGUUCCUUGCUUUAUUAGAAAGUGCGAAUAAUGGGGAGCUAUUCUACAGCGAUGAGCCGAGUGCUCUAGAAACCGUCAAUGAAGGAAGCGAGUCAGAUAUAUAUUCAGGUUCAGAGAACAUGCUGUCAAAUGUUCAUGCAUGGCAAACAAAUGGUAGUGGCAUUGUUAAAGCGACAGAUUUGGCUGGGCCUGAGGGUCUGCGGCUUAUCAGUGGGUUGAUUGAGCCUAUUGAACCAGACAAGGCCGACAAAGGAUGCCUACAAAUUUCAGAGACCGCGGGAGCAGAGCAGAGUUCUGAAAGUGAUACUACUUGCGUUAGAAGGCAUCGGCGAGGAGCAAUGCCUGAUGAGAGAACUAUACAAGCAAAGAGGGUUACAACACUUGAAACUGCAAUCAGGGGUUUUGCUGAAAGGAAAACAGCUUCUGUCAUUACACCAACACUAGGAUUGAGUUAUGAUUCAUUGACAGAAGCUUACGACUUUUACAACCUGUAUUCUUGGGAAUGUGGUUUCGGCAUACGUUACGGAAGAGCAAAAAUAAUGUGA